UGUAUCAUUGACAUGAACAAUACCAACAAAUCUCUCAAUUACUUCGCCCUUUUUGUUAACAUAUCUCAAAACAAGUGCCAUUUGCUCCUUGUGUGAUAUAUCCUUCGAUUCAUCAACUAGUAUCCCGAAAAAAUCCCCAUCCAAGUCUUCAAUGAUAGCUUUGAUUGUUUCUUUGGCACAAGCAUCAACAAUAUCUUUCUGAAUCAUUGGGGAACACAUCAUUUCAUUUUUAUCAACAAUAUCUUUCUGAAUCAUAAGGGAACACAUCAUUUCAUUUUUUGGAGCAUUUUCUAAUAUAAUACUUCCAAUAUCUGGAGCAAUAUCUCCAUACCAUUGCAAGAGUUCAAGAAAGAUACCUCUAUUUGUAGAAGAUUGACUCUCAUCGUGCCCACGAAAUGGAAAUCCUAGUCUCAAAAGAAACGUAGCAACAUCGAUUGAAGCACUCAAGCGAUGUCGAGACUCACUUUUUUCUUUCUCGGAUAGCUUUUCAAAAAAAGUGCGAAUUGAUUGUGAUUGAUUCAUUAAAUCAAGCAUCCUAUUGAAACACUUGUUGUGGAUGCUAUCUACCUCUCCAACAUGAGCUUUAAAUCUUUCUAUAGCCUUGUUCCAACCUUUAAAGCCAUUUUU
This 627-nucleotide long non-coding RNA is filed under the name Nicotiana benthamiana. Its description in RNAcentral is "long non-coding RNA (NBEN_LNC019487)". Lineage: Eukaryota; Viridiplantae; Streptophyta; Magnoliopsida; Solanales; Solanaceae. The record is from RNAcentral.